Molecule: small RNA, 86 nt
Filed under: Halalkalibacter hemicellulosilyticusJCM 9152
Lineage: Bacteria; Bacillati; Bacillota; Bacilli; Caryophanales; Bacillaceae
Description: Bacillus hemicellulosilyticus JCM 9152 BsrC
Rfam family: BsrC
About the family: The 301 nucleotide sequence from Kouji Nakamura has been trimmed to a highly conserved ~85 nucleotide long core to form this family.
Source: Rfam by way of RNAcentral
AAAAACCUAAACAAUGUAAGCCCUACCUCUCAUACAUCCUCAUGCUCCGAAGCCAAUCCAGUGUGAAUAAGCAAAAAAAAUCUUAA